RNAcentral lists this ribosomal RNA (468 nucleotides) under uncultured bacterium. Its description in RNAcentral is "partial 16S ribosomal RNA". It matches the Rfam family "Bacterial small subunit ribosomal RNA", at positions 28 to 507 of the family's 1533-position model. The record is from RNAcentral.
GACGAACGCUGGCGGCGUGCUUAACACAUGCAAGUCGAACGGAAAGACCCUGCUUUUGUGGGGUGCUCGAGUGGCGAACGGGUGAGUAACACGUGAGUAACCUGCCCUUGACUUUGGGAUAACUUCAGGAAACUGGGGCUAAUACCGGAUAGGAGCUCCUGCUGCAUGGUGGGGGUUGGAAAGUUUCGGCGGUUGGGGAUGGACUCGCGGCUUAUCAGCUUGUUGGUGGGGUAGUGGCUUACCAAGGCUUUGACGGGUAGCCGGCCUGAGAGGGUGACCGGCCACAUUGGGCCUGCGAGACGGACCAGACGCCUACGGGAGGCAGCAGUGGGGAACAUUGCACAACGGGCGGAAGCCUGAUGUAGCAACGCCGCGUGCGGGAUGACGGCCUUCGGGUUGUAAACAGAUUUCGCCUGUGACGAAGCGUGAGUGACGGUAAUGGGUAAAGAAGCACCGGCUAACUACGUG